CACUGCUCCACGUGGACAUUGCUUUGAGAUCAAGAGUCACACACCGACUGCUGAUCUGAGAGCGACACAGGCCCACUGACAUUUGAGGCAAGGUGCUUUUUUAAAGGAACCAAAUACACUGAAGAACCCGUAAAAAUUUCACAAGACUGGCGUCAUAAUGACACAAAAGAAGAAAAACGAAAAAUUGAAAUCCAGAGUGGCAGGAGCAGCAACUUUAUAAUAAAUCUUUAAUCUGGAAUCACAUAAACAUUGGCUUCAAACAGAAUGAC
This is a long non-coding RNA of Brienomyrus brachyistius, 269 nucleotides long. RefSeq lists it as uncharacterized. The transcript is spliced from 3 exons. Lineage: Eukaryota; Metazoa; Chordata; Actinopteri; Osteoglossiformes; Mormyridae. The record is from RefSeq and is a predicted model, not a curated record.